RNAcentral lists this ribosomal RNA (526 nucleotides) under uncultured bacterium. Its description in RNAcentral is "bacterial SSU rRNA". It matches the Rfam family "Bacterial small subunit ribosomal RNA", at positions 8 to 518 of the family's 1533-position model. The record is from RNAcentral.
AGAGUUUGAUUAUGGCUCAGGAUGAACGCUAGCUACAGGCUUAACACAUGCAAGUCGUGGGGCAGCAUGGUCUUAGCUUGCUAAGACUGAUGGCGACCGGCGCACGGGUGAGUAACGCGUAUCCCAACCUGGCCCACGAGUAGGGGAUAGACCCGGCGAAAGUCGGAUUAAUACCCUAUGUUUUCCUUUGAGAGCAUUUGACGAGGAACAAAGAUUUCAUCGCUAUGGGAUGGGGAUGCGUCCGAUUAGCUUGACGGCGGGGUAACGGCCCACCGUGGCUUCGAUCGGUAGGGGUUCUGAGAGGAAGGUCCCCCACAUUGGAACUGAGACACGGUCCAAACUCCUACGGGAGGCAGCAGUGAGGAAUAUUGGUCAAUGGGCGAAGGCCUGAACCAGCCAAAGUAGCGUGAGGGAUGACUGCCCUACGGGUUGUAAACCUCUUUUGCGGGGGAAUAAAGUGCGGGACGCGUCCCGUUUUGUAUGUACCCUGAGAAUAAGGACCGGCUAAUUCCGUGCCAGCAGCAGC